UCNCUAUGUCAUAUAGUUCAGGGUGUACUUU
Molecule: non-coding RNA, 31 nt
Filed under: Mus musculus (house mouse)
Lineage: Eukaryota; Metazoa; Chordata; Mammalia; Rodentia; Muridae
Source: RNAcentral